AGGGAAUCUUCCGCAAUGGACGAAAGUCUGACGGAGCAACGCCGCGUGAGUGAAGAAGGCCUUCGGGUCGUAAAGCUCUGCUGCCGGGGAAGAACAAGUGCCGUUCGAACAGGGCGGUGCCUUGACGGUACCCGGCCAGAAAGCCACGGCUAACUACGUGCCAGCAGCCGCGGUAAUACGUAGGUGGCAAGCGUUGUCCGGAAUUAUUGGGCGUAAAGCGCGCGCAGGCGGUUUCUUAAGUCUGAUGUGAAAUCUUGCGGCUCAACCGCAAGCGGUCAUUGGAAACUGGGAGGCUUGAGUGCAGAAGAGGAGAGUGGAAUUCCACGUGUAGCGGUGAAAUGCGUAGAGAUGUGGAGGAACACCAGUGGCGAAGGCGGCUCUCUGGUCUGUAACUGACGCUGAGGCAUGAAAGCGUGGGGAGCAAAC
This 426-nucleotide ribosomal RNA is filed under the name uncultured bacterium. RNAcentral describes it as "bacterial SSU rRNA". It matches the Rfam family "Bacterial small subunit ribosomal RNA", at positions 356 to 773 of the family's 1533-position model. The record is from RNAcentral.